AGUGAACGCUGGCGGUAGGCCUAACACAUGCAAGUCGAACGGCAGCACAGUAAGAGCUUGCUCUUACGGGUGGCGAGUGGCGGACGGGUGAGGAAUACAUCGGAAUCUACAUUUUCGUGGGGGAUAACGUAGGGAAACUUACGCUAAUACCGCAUACGACCUACGGGUGAAAGCAGGGGAUCUUCGGACCUUGCGCGAUUGAAUGAGCCGAUGUCGGAUUAGCUAGUUGGCGGGGUAAAGGCCCACCAAGGCGACGAUCCGUAGCUGGUCUGAGAGGAUGAUCAGCCACACUGGAACUGAGACACGGUCCAGACUCCUACGGGAGGCAGCAGUGGGGAAUAUUGGACAAUGGGCGCAAGCCUGAUCCAGCCAUACCGCGUGGGUGAAGAAGGCCUUCGGGUUGUAAAGCCCUUUUGUUGGGAAAGAAAAGCAGCAGGUUAAUACCCCGCUGUUCUGACGGUACCAAAAGAAUAAGCACCGGCUAACUUCGUG
Molecule: ribosomal RNA, 492 nt
Filed under: uncultured bacterium
Lineage: Bacteria
Description: partial 16S ribosomal RNA
Rfam family: Bacterial small subunit ribosomal RNA
Source: RNAcentral